RNAcentral lists this long non-coding RNA (1258 nucleotides) under Gallus gallus (chicken). RNAcentral describes it as "lncRNA (ENSGALG00010020923.1)". The record is from RNAcentral. Lineage: Eukaryota; Metazoa; Chordata; Aves; Galliformes; Phasianidae.
AGUUUAAUUUGCAAUGUAACCAAUUGUUUUCAUGAAACCACUGUGCAAUUUGAGAGGAGAGGAGAGGAGAGGGGCUGUUGUUUUGUGUGUUUGUUUUCUUACGUUUUGCUUUGCUUUAGGGUUCUAACCUGAAUAACACUUAAGGCUCACUCUGUAUGCUAUUCCAGGACGGUGCCCUCUUAGGCUUAAACUAUGAUGAAAUACUCUCCAGUGAUUCAUAUCCCUUUAACACUGAAAUACUCUCUGGCCAUCUAGUAGAAAGGCUAUAUGAAUAUGUCAUCCCUGUGUCACAGUAAUCAUAAGCCCUGUGCAUGUGCUACGUUUAUUACAGCCUCCAUCAUUCUCACAGCCGUACACGGGGCUCCGGGCAGCGGACGGUGCCGUUGUUGGGGGUCCUGCUGCCACCUCGAGGUACGGAGCCGAACUGCCACCUUCGGUGUGAAACGGGAGGAAAAAACACAGUUCUGAACGCGCAGCACCUCAAAGUCCCUCCAAGAGCCCCCAGCUACUGCCCUGAGCCCUGCAGUUCUCCCUGCAGCCCCUUAACAACCUCAGGAGUGCCGGCAGCACCUCGUGCCUUAGGAUGCCCGGUGGAUCUCCCCAGGAUGCACUCAUCUCCUGCAUUGUGAUCAUUGGCAGAAAUAUCCGAUGGCACUGACCCGAUGUGGGGGCUCAGAGGCGGCACACAGGGAAACCUGCAGUGCUGCAGCGUGUGCCCGGCGCCUCUGGUCCUGCUGCUGGGCACCGCUGGGUGCAGCCCGGCUCCGUCCUCUCUGCACCUCCCUGCAGGGACUGAUGGUCGUGCCUGGGAUCCCCCUGAGCCUCCUCUCCUGCAGGCCGAGCCGCCCCAGCUCUCCCGCAAUCCCAGCCCAACCAUUCCCCAUGCCUACGUUCCCACCCAGGGCUGACUGAAGAGGGGAGGGGAUUUUGGAGGGGGCAGCCCUGGGACACGGCCCUUUGUGCAGCCCCGCAGGUGGGCAAUGGGGACUGGGGGGGCUUUGGUGCUGCAGGAAUGACUGCACGUGGAGGCGUAGGAAAGUGAAUACAAAACAUUUAAUAAUUUAACACAAUUUAACAUAAUUUAGCAGUCCAAGAUGACGUUGGUGGACAGCCCAGGUUUGGAGGGGUAGGGCUGGGGCCGGUGCUGGUGCCCCUGGAGCACUGCCGCUGCUCUCUGUGCGCCGCGGGGGCCGGCGAGGAGCCCAGGGCUGCAGGGAGCCGUCUUUGUUGGCUAUGGCCGUGUCUCCUGCUGCACCAC